RNAcentral lists this ribosomal RNA (253 nucleotides) under uncultured bacterium. RNAcentral's name for it is "partial 16S ribosomal RNA". It matches the Rfam family "Bacterial small subunit ribosomal RNA", at positions 524 to 776 of the family's 1533-position model. The record is from RNAcentral.
CACGUAGGGCGCAAGCGUUGUCCGGAAUUAUUGGGCGUAAAGAGCUCGUAGGCGGUCUGUUGCGUCCGCUGUGAAAACUCGGGGCUUAACCCCGAGCCUGCAGUGGAUACGGGCAGACUAGAGGUAGGUAGGGGAGAAUGGAAUUCCCGGUGUAGCGGUGAAAUGCGCAGAUAUCGGGAGGAACACCGGUGGCGAAGGCGGUUCUCUGGGCCUUACCUGACGCUGAGGCGCGAAAGCCAGGGGAGCAAACGGG